UUAUUAAUCUUAUCGAGUCGCGGUAAGAGUUGCCAACUAGUAUAAUUUGAGUAACAACACCCAUACCUAAUCUUCAUAACUCUACACGUGAAAUAGUUCAAUCUAUGUUGUCAUCUACAAAAUAUGUCGCGCUUACUUUGGACUUCUAUAAAUACGGUUUCUUUUAUUACAGUGAAUACACAUUUUUCAAAGUGAAAACAUAUGUUUUAGCUACAAAAAAACUAGAAUCUAGUCAUACAGCACAUUAUUUGUCUGAAGUUUUAACAGAUAUAAGUUGGGUUGGGUUUUUUCGAAGUAAAAGUCGUUGCGAUUGUAACAGACUCAGGUGCGAAUAUAAAGACUGUAAUUAGAUUACUCGGAUUUGAUCCAUGCGUUACUCAUAAGUUAAAAAAUGCUUUAAAAAUCAUAGUUAUUGAUGAUUUUAAUGACACUACUACAGCUUCUCGUACUGAUGAAGUAUAAAUUAAGAAACUAAUAAAAAUGUGUCGAUCCAUUGUUGGACAUUUCAAACAAAGCCAAGUGUCGAGUAGACUUUUCGCGGAAAACAAGAACAACUUAAUUGUCCUACUUUAAAAAUAAAAAAAGAUAUCGCAACUCGCCGGAACAGUACACUUAUUAUGUUAGAACGUCUUUCAGUGAUUGAAGAACAUUUAAUGCUGUUUUGAUGCCUUUACCACGUUGUCCUAAUAUACCAACAAAUGAACAGCGGAAAGUUAUAAAUGAUUUGGUUACACUUAGAAACCUUAUGAAAGUUUAACAGUACAACUAUCAUCAUAAACGACCAAUUUUAGGAAAAGUAAUUCCAUUUAUAAGAGGUUUACUAUUAUCAGUUAGAAAUAAAAAUCCAUCAACAUCUCCUGGAAACUUUUUCUAAUGGAACAAACAAAAACACAAUUUGGAGAUAUAAAGGGAAAAUAUCCAUCACAUUUGUACGCAAAAGUGACAAUACUAGAUCCUCGAUUUAAAAAAGCAGCUUUCAUAUCUAUUGAUAAUGCUAAUGGAGCUGAAUGUGAAUACAAAAAGAUCUUGUUUAUCUAGAAAAUCAUGCUCCUUCGCUAACUGAACAAAUUAUACCAGACAGUACAAUUUUAGAAUCUAAUAGCAGAUCGAAUUCAAUACCCCAAGAAAAUCUACUAAAUUUUUUAGAAACAUGUGUCUGUACACUUGGUCUCAAACUACUUUCUCAGCAAAAGCAUUAUGUAGACAAUAUCUUGAUUUUUAACCAUAAAAGAUGAUCCAAUAUUAUUUUGAAAAAAUAAUAAUCAUAAAUUUGGGGCACAGUCCGAAAUCGCAUCUUG
Long non-coding RNA from Daktulosphaira vitifoliae (grape phylloxera), 1298 nucleotides. RefSeq lists it as uncharacterized. The record is from RefSeq and is a predicted model, not a curated record. Lineage: Eukaryota; Metazoa; Arthropoda; Insecta; Hemiptera; Phylloxeridae. The transcript has 3 exons.